UCCGAUAAACCCACUCAGCGCCCGACUGAAAAGACAGCACCACCGCGCCACCCGUUUUUUAUAGGCUCGUGGCCGGAACCCGUUUCUCGCGGAGGAAUUUUCUCACCGUGCUGCGGUUGCUGGCAGAGGUGGUUGGGGCUAUGUGCCUGAAGUGAAGAUUCUGCCCACUGGUCAAGACACCUCCCUCUCAGAUGCUGGCUCUGCCCCUGCUUUUGGGGGUCGACCCCUGUACUCGCAGGACCUUAGGUGACUCUGUAAGUAUAGUAAAACUCAGUUAAUCUGAUGUUAUCAUUCAAUGUUUUUUAAAAAGUGGAGCAUCCAGUUGACAAGGUAAGACUUUUUCCUGACGCCUUUGGUUGUUUAUUUAAAAGUACAGGCAAUAUAUAAGAUGAAAGACAAACUCAGAGGUUCAAAUACAUCCAAUAAAUUGAAACAGCAGUGACAUACGCAUCCAAAGAUGACUGUAGCUAUUUAAAGCCAUGUCUUGUUUCUCUAGGCAAAAG
Sapajus apella (tufted capuchin) is the source of this 503-nucleotide long non-coding RNA. RefSeq lists it as uncharacterized. The record is from RefSeq and is a predicted model, not a curated record. The transcript has 2 exons. Lineage: Eukaryota; Metazoa; Chordata; Mammalia; Primates; Cebidae. The annotation marks the transcript as partial.